CCUCAGUUAGCCUUUUUGAGGCAAUGCCAUUUCUAGAGUUGAAAAAGCCCUGGACCCAAACUGCUGCACUGUUGAAUAAAGGGCAGUCCUACUCCUGUCCUUUUAGAGCUGCUUGGUGUGACACACAGGCUGUGCCCAGUUCCGCAGGAGCCGUCCCACAGUGUGGCUCUCUGGAUUCUCCCGCUUGUCCUCCUUGGAAGGAGCUCUUGCUGGCCAGUGUUUGGAGGGGAGGUUGAGUGCCUGUCACUGAGGCUCCACCAUGGUUGGCGUCUGAAGCUGGGCAGUCGUCAGGCCUGUGCUGAGAGCCGCAGCCCCUGUGCACACCUAACACAGGGCGCUCCCCCUGCUGCUUCCCUGGCUCAGUUCUUCGGAGCUCCAGAGUGAGAAGGCCGCUUAGUCCUUUUUCUCUGGGUGAUGCCCUUAGAAUAACGCUAUAUACAAUGUAACUCACAAUGUUCCAGGACCAAAGGCUUGAUGGAGGGGCUAGAGGCGACCCUUGUUGUAAAAGGCAAUCAGAACACCUGAGGGAGGAAGGAGCUUGCAGUUUUCCCAGCCCUUCUCGCUGCCAAGGCAGCAGUGGUGCUGUGGAUGGGCUGGGGACUGCUGGGCAGAGCCUGCUACUGCUUGGGAGUUGGUGCUGCCCUGUGGCAUGGAGGGGUGGGAGGGACUGAGGUGGCUGCUGGCCUGGCCUCCAAGAGUUCUGGACAGGAGGCAGACACUGCCCAGAUGCUGGGUGGAGGGACAGUGAUGGCCUUUGACGCGUGAGGCCUGGGGAAGAGUUUCAAAGGUCUCACCAAGUAAGAGUGAUUUCCAGUUUCUCUUCUUUCAGUUGUGUGAAAAAACUGGCCUGGGUUCCAUUAGCAAAUUAAAUCAUCUUCAGUCUUAAAUUAGCGACCAGAACGAUCUUCAGGAUAAAAAGAACUUCUGAAUCUCUGCAAUAGGAAAUGUUUUGAUUAUGCAAGUGCUUUUCCAGCCAAAUGUCUGUGCUGUCUGUGUCACUGAGGGCCACAGGUUCCUCUAACAUCUGUCACUGUCACUUCACCAGGCAGGCCUUGGAGUUCCAUGACAAAAUCACUUUUGUCAGACAAAGAAUGUAUCCUUUACUUUUCUCAAAUGGAAUAAAAUGAUUUCUUCUGUGAAGGAAAA
This is an RNA transcript of Nomascus leucogenys (northern white-cheeked gibbon), 1146 nucleotides long. RefSeq lists it as uncharacterized. NCBI's taxonomy places the organism in Eukaryota, Metazoa, Chordata, Mammalia, Primates, Hylobatidae. The transcript has a single exon. The record is from RefSeq and is a predicted model, not a curated record.